RNAcentral lists this transfer RNA (80 nucleotides) under Felis catus (domestic cat). It matches the Rfam family "tRNA". From Rfam's summary of the family: Transfer RNA (tRNA) molecules are approximately 80 nucleotides in length. Their secondary structure includes four short double-helical elements and three loops (D, anti-codon, and T loops). Further hydrogen bonds mediate the characteristic L-shaped molecular structure. tRNAs have two regions of fundamental functional importance: the anti-codon, which is responsible for specific mRNA codon recognition, and the 3' end, to which the tRNAs corresponding amino acid is attached (by aminoacyl-tRNA synthetases). tRNAs cope with the degeneracy of the genetic code in two manners: having more than one tRNA (with a specific anti-codon) for a particular amino acid; and 'wobble' base-pairing, i.e. permitting non-standard base-pairing at the 3rd anti-codon position. Lineage: Eukaryota; Metazoa; Chordata; Mammalia; Carnivora; Felidae. The record is from Rfam by way of RNAcentral.
ACCUGGGUGGCUCAGUUGGUUAAGCAUCUGACUUCAGCUCAGGUCACGGCCUCACGUGGGUUCAAGCCCCAUGUCGGGUU